This 505-nucleotide ribosomal RNA is filed under the name uncultured bacterium. Its description in RNAcentral is "partial 16S ribosomal RNA". It matches the Rfam family "Bacterial small subunit ribosomal RNA", at positions 28 to 504 of the family's 1533-position model. The record is from RNAcentral.
GACGAACGCUGGCGGCGUGCCUAAUACAUGCAAGUCGAACGCUUCUUUCCUCCCGAGUGCUUGCACUCAAUUGGAAAGAGGAGUGGCGGACGGGUGAGUAACACGUGGGUAACCUACCCAUCAGAGGGGGAUAACACUUGGAAACAGGUGCUAAUACCGCAUAACAGUUUAUGCCGCAUGGCAUAAGAGUGAAAGGCGCUUUCGGGUGUCGCUGAUGGAUGGACCCGCGGUGCAUUAGCUAGUUGGUGAGGUAACGGCUCACCAAGGCCACGAUGCAUAGCCGACCUGAGAGGGUGAUCGGCCACACUGGGACUGAGACACGGCCCAGACUCCUACGGGAGGCAGCAGUAGGGAAUCUUCGGCAAUGGACGAAAGUCUGACCGAGCAACGCCGCGUGAGUGAAGAAGGUUUUCGGAUCGUAAAACUCUGUUGUUAGAGAAGAACAAGGACGUUAGUAACUGAACGUCCCCUGACGGUAUCUAGCCAGAAAGCCACGGCUAACUAC